Molecule: ribosomal RNA, 902 nt
Filed under: uncultured Terriglobales bacterium
Lineage: Bacteria; Pseudomonadati; Acidobacteriota; Terriglobia; Terriglobales
Description: SSU rRNA
Rfam family: Bacterial small subunit ribosomal RNA
Source: RNAcentral
UCAGAAUCAACGCUGGCGGCGUGCNUAACACAUGCAAGUCGAACGCGAAAGCGGACUUCGGUCCGCAAGUAGAGUGGCAAACGGGUGAGUAUCACGUGGGUGACCUACCUUCGAGUGGGGGAUAACCUUCCGAAAGGAAGGCUAAUACCGCAUAACAUCCUGCUCUUGGACGAGCAGUGAUCAAAGCCGGGGAUCGCAAGACCUGGUGCUUGUUGAGGGGCCCGCGCCCGAUUAGCUUGUUGGUGAGGUAAUGGCUCACCAAGGCUUCGAUCGGUAGCCGGCCUGAGAGGGCGGACGGCCACACUGGGACUGAGACACGGCCCAGACUCCUACGGGAGGCAGCAGUGGGGAAUUGUUCGCAAUGGGCGAAAGCCUGACGACGCAACGCCGCGUGGAGGACGAAGAUUUUCGGAUCGUAAACUCCUGUCGAGCGGGAAGAACAGCACGCCGGUUAAUACCCGGUAUGCCUGACGGUACCGCUAAAGGAAGCCCCGGCUAACUCCGUGCCAGCAGCCGCGGUAAUACGGGGGGGGCAAGCGUUGUUCGGAUUUACUGGGCGUAAAGGGCUCGUAGGCGGCCACCUAAGUCGGUUGUGAAAUCCCUCGGCUCAACCGGGGAACUGCGACCGAUACUGAGAGGCUUGAAGCCGGGAGAGGGAUGCGGAAUUCCAGGUGUAGCGGUGAAAUGCGUAGAUAUCUGGAGGAACACCCGUGGCGAAGGCGGCAUCCUGGACCGGUCUUGACGCUGAGGAGCGAAAGCUAGGGGAGCAAACGGGAUUAGAUACCCCGGUAGUCCUAGCCCUAAACGAUGAAUGCUUGGUGUGGCGGGUAUCGAUCCCUGCCGUGCCGUAGCUAACGUGUUAAGCAUYCCGCCUGGGGAGUACGGUCGCAAGGCUGAAACUC